This 253-nucleotide ribosomal RNA is filed under the name uncultured bacterium. RNAcentral describes it as "partial 16S ribosomal RNA". It matches the Rfam family "Bacterial small subunit ribosomal RNA", at positions 524 to 776 of the family's 1533-position model. The record is from RNAcentral.
UACGUAGGGGGCGAGCGUUGUCCGGAAUCAUUGGGCGUAAAGCGCGUGUAGGCGGCCCGGUAAGUCCGCUGUGAAAGUCCAGGGCUCAACCCUGGGAUGCCGGUGGAUACUGUCGGGCUCGAGUCCGGAAGAGGCGAGUGGAAUUCCUGGUGUAGCGGUGAAAUGCGCAGAUAUCAGGAAGAACACCAAUGGCGAAAGCAGCUUUCUGGGACGGUACUGACGCUGAGACGCGAAAGCGUGGGGAGCGAACAGG